Molecule: ribosomal RNA, 253 nt
Filed under: uncultured bacterium
Lineage: Bacteria
Description: partial 16S ribosomal RNA
Rfam family: Bacterial small subunit ribosomal RNA
Source: RNAcentral
UACGUAGGGGGCAAGCGUUGUCCGGAAUCAUUGGGCGUAAAGCGCGUGUAGGCGGUCCGGUAAGUCCGCUGUGAAAGUCGGGGGCUCAACCCUCGAAAGCCGGUGGAAACUGUCGGGCUAGGGUGCGGAAGAGGCGAGUGGAAUUCCUGGUGUAGCGGUGAAAUGCGCAGAUAUCAGGAGGAACACCAAUUGCGAAGGCAGCUCGCUGGGACGUUACUGACGCUGAGACGCGAAAGCGUGGGGAGCAAACAGG